Molecule: long non-coding RNA, 307 nt
Filed under: Elaeis guineensis (African oil palm)
Lineage: Eukaryota; Viridiplantae; Streptophyta; Magnoliopsida; Arecales; Arecaceae
Description: long non-coding RNA (EGUI_LNC026118)
Source: RNAcentral
UCUAAUCUUAUAUAGGAUAGGACCAAUUUUCCACUUAAGUCAUCAAUGCUCAUAAGACUUUCAUUAGAAUUUGAUUUUUAGCAUCAAUAACAUUAUAAUAUAUUAAUAUUAUAUUUAUAUUAAUAUAAAUAUAAUAUUUAUAUUUAUAUAAAGUUUAGAAGCAAAAAUGAAUGGCCUUAUAUUUACUAAAGAUAUGAUAGGUAUUUUAUACAGUUUUUUUAAAAAAAUAGGUACUCAAUCAAACAUAAGCUACUCUACAAUAAGUCAUUUUUCUAAGGUCAACCAAAUAUACCAAGAUCCUAUUUCC